Non-coding RNA from Gorilla gorilla gorilla (western lowland gorilla), 148 nucleotides. It matches the Rfam family "Metazoan signal recognition particle RNA". Rfam says of the family: The signal recognition particle (SRP) is a universally conserved ribonucleoprotein. NCBI's taxonomy places the organism in Eukaryota, Metazoa, Chordata, Mammalia, Primates, Hominidae. The record is from Rfam.
GCCAGGUGUGGUGGCGUGCACCUGUGGUCCCAGCUGUUCAGGAGGCUGAGGCAGGAGGAUUGCUUGAACCCAGGAGGUUGAGGGUGCAGUGAGCUAUGAUCACACCACUGCACUCCAGUCUGGGUGACAGAGCAAGACCCUGUCUCAA